This 419-nucleotide ribosomal RNA is filed under the name bacterium. RNAcentral's name for it is "partial 16S ribosomal RNA". It matches the Rfam family "Bacterial small subunit ribosomal RNA", at positions 355 to 776 of the family's 1533-position model. The record is from RNAcentral.
UGGGGGAUAUUGCACAAUGGGCGAAAGCCUUAUGCAGCGAGUCCUCGUGGGGGAUGAAGGCCUUCGGGUUGUAAACUUCUUUUGCUCUGAACAAGGCGCACCAUGGGGUGUGUUGAGUGUAGGGGUUGAUUAGCGCCGGCUAACUACGUGCCAGCAGCCGCGGUAAUACGUAGGGCGCGAGCGUUGUCCGGAAUUAUUGGGCGUAAAGGGCUUGUAGGUGGCUGGUUGCGUCUGUCGUGAAAGCUCAUGGCUUAACUGUGGGUUUGCGGUGGGUACGGGCUGGCUUGAGUGCAGUAGGGGAGGCUGGAAUUCCUGGUGUAGCGGUGGAAUGCGCAGAUAUCAGGAGGAAUACCGGUGGCGAAGGCGGGUCUCUGGGCUGUUACUGACACUGAGGAGCGAAAGCAUGGGGAGCGAACAGG